UACGGAGGGGGCAAGCGUUAUUCGGAAUUAUUGGGCGUAAAGGGCGCGUAGGCGGCUAGAUGUGUCAAAGGUGAAAUCCCUCGGCUCAACUGAGGAACUGCCUUUGAAACUGUCUGGCUUGAGGCCGGGAGAGGGUAGCGGAAUUCCCAGUGUAGCGGUGAAAUGCGUAGAUAUUGGGAGGAACACCAGUGGCGAAGGCGGCUACCUGGACCGGUUCUGACGCUGAGGAGCGAAAGCCAGGGGAGCAAACGGG
Molecule: ribosomal RNA, 253 nt
Filed under: uncultured bacterium
Lineage: Bacteria
Description: partial 16S ribosomal RNA
Rfam family: Bacterial small subunit ribosomal RNA
Source: RNAcentral